GGACUGACGAGGACGUCAGGGCCUUAACGGGGGGAGCCUGUGACACCCCAAUAGUCCCACAUCGGGUGGAAAAGGAGUUGUCAUUGGGUUUAUAAGAGACUUAGACACUAGUAAUAAUAACUGGGCUUAAGCAUUUUGGGCCGGUGGUUGGGCCCAACGAGUUAUUGUUGCUAGUGGGCUGGGUCGCUAUAUUUGGUAUCAGAGCCGGUUCACCGGUUGGACAUGUGUGGCGAGUCUCGGCUUAGCCAGGGUUUGGAUGACGGGCUAGCGAGACGAGUCUUACAUCGCCUGGUGAUCUUGGGCUGUGUGUGAUUGGACUGACGAGGACGUCAGGGUCUUAACGGGGGGAGUCAAUAAUAACUGGGCUUAAGCAUUUUGGGCCGGUUGUUGGGCCCAACGACUUAUUGUUGCUAGUGGGCUGGGUCGUUACACUAGAUGCUUCAAAUAUAUUAGAUUAAGUCUAACAGAAUCGAUCGUUGAUUUAAAAACUCCAUCAUCGAAAGUGGCUUAGGAGCACGGAGACCUUCGUACUCCUAAUAACACACAAAACCUACUCUCUCUCUCUCUCUAUAUAUAUAUUUAUUUAUG
This 588-nucleotide long non-coding RNA is filed under the name Ananas comosus (pineapple). Its description in RNAcentral is "long non-coding RNA (ACOM_LNC031165)". Lineage: Eukaryota; Viridiplantae; Streptophyta; Magnoliopsida; Poales; Bromeliaceae. The record is from RNAcentral.